Molecule: ribosomal RNA, 1571 nt
Filed under: Pelotomaculum propionicicum
Lineage: Bacteria; Bacillati; Bacillota; Clostridia; Eubacteriales; Desulfotomaculaceae
Description: 16S ribosomal RNA
Rfam family: Bacterial small subunit ribosomal RNA
Source: RNAcentral
GAGUUUGAUCCUGGCUCAGGACGAACGCUGGCGGCGUGCUUAACACAUGCAAGUCGAACGGUCCAGCACUCAACUUAGUGCUCAUAAGAUAUAGAGUUUUAAUUAGAGGAAGCGAUAUAUCUGGUGAGUAGCAAGUUGAGUGCUGGAUAGUGGCGGACGGGUGAGUAACGCGUGGAUAACCUGCCUAUAUGACCGGGACAACACCGGGAAACUGGUGCUAAUACCGGAUACGCUCGCGGAGGCACAUGCUUUUGUGAGGAAAGGAGCAAUCCGCAUAUAGAUGGGUCCGCGUCCCAUUAGCUAGUUGGCGGUGUAAAAGACCACCAAGGCGACGAUGGGUAGCCGGCCUGAGAGGGUGGACGGCCACACUGGAACUGAGACACGGUCCAGACUCCUACGGGAGGCAGCAGUGGGGAAUCUUCCGCAAUGGGCGCAAGCCUGACGGAGCAACGCCGCGUGAGUGAAGAAGGCUUUCGGGUUGUAAAACUCUGUCUUCAGGGAAGAAGAAAGUGACGGUACCUGAGGAGGAAGCCCCGGCUAACUACGUGCCAGCAGCCGCGGUAAAACGUAGGGGGCGAGCGUUGUCCGGAAUUACUGGGCGUAAAGGGCGCGUAGGCGGUUUCUUAAGUCAGAGGUGAAAACUACCGGCUUAACCGGUAGCCUGCCUUUGAAACUGGGGAACUUGAGGGCAGGAGAGGGGAGUGGAAUUCCCAGUGUAGCGGUGAAAUGCGUAGAUAUUGGGAGGAACACCAGUGGCGAAGGCGGCUCUCUGGCCUGUUUCUGACGCUGAGGCGCGAAAGCGUGGGGAGCAAACGGGAUUAGAUACCCCGGUAGUCCACGCCGUAAACGAUGGGUGCUAGGUGUAGGAGGUAUCGACCCCUUCUGUGCCGUAGUUAACACAAUAAGCACCCCGCCUGGGGAGUACGGCCGCAAGGUUGAAACUCAAAGGAAUUGACGGGGGCCCGCACAAGCGGUGGAGCAUGUGGUUAAUUCGACGCAACGCGAAGAACCUUACCAGGGCUUGACAUCCCCUGACAGUCAUUGAAAGAUGGUUUUCCAGCUUCGGUUGGACAGGGAGACAGGUGGUGCAUGGUUGUCGUCAGCUCGUGUCGUGAGAUGUUGGGUUAAGUCCCGCAACGAGCGCAACCCUUACGUUUAGUUGCUAACGUGUAAAGAUGAGCACUCUAGACGAACUGCCGUUGACAAAACGGAGGAAGGUGGGGAUGACGUCAAAUCAUCAUGCCCCUUAUGUCCUGGGCUACACACGUGCUACAAUGGCCGGUACAAAGGGAAGCGAAGCCGCGAGGCGGAGCAAAUCCGAUAAAAGCCGGUCUCAGUUCGGAUUGCAGGCUGCAAUUCGCCUGCAUGAAGUCGGAAUCGCUAGUAAUCGCAGGUCAGCAUACUGCGGUGAAUACGUUCCCGGGCCUUGUACACACCGCCCGUCACACCACGAAAGCUGACAACACCCGAAGCCGGUGAGCUAACCCAGCACUCAACCUGGUAUUUGAUAAGUAAGAAUAUUCAAGAUGGUUUUAUCAUUGGAUAGGAAGGUAAACUAUUAAGUAUCAGGA